This 387-nucleotide ribosomal RNA is filed under the name uncultured bacterium. RNAcentral's name for it is "bacterial SSU rRNA". It matches the Rfam family "Bacterial small subunit ribosomal RNA", at positions 28 to 408 of the family's 1533-position model. The record is from RNAcentral.
GACGAACGCUGGCGGCGUGCUUAAUACAUGCAAGUCGAGCGAGGUCCAUCUGGUGGCAACACCAGUGAAGGCCGAGCGGCGAACGGGUGAGUAACACGUGAGCAACCUGCCCCGAAGUCUGGAAUAACAUCGGGAAACCGGUGCUAAUACCGGAUCGCCCCACCUGACCGCAUGAUCGGGUGAGGAAAGAUUUAUCGCUUCGGGAGGGGCUCGCGGCCUAUCAGCAGUUGGUGGGGUAACGGCCUACCAAGGCGUCGACGGGUAGCUGGUCUGAGAGGACGACCAGCCACACUGGGACUGAGACACGGCCCAGACUCCUACGGGAGGCAGCAGUAGGGAAUCUUGCGCAAUGGGCGAAAGCCUGACGCAGCAACGCCGCGUGGGGGA